AUUGAGAAGGGAACUUAUCGUGAGUAGCCAUAAAACAAUCGAUGGCCGUGGAAGAUACGUUCACAUAACAAAUGGAGCUGGCAUUAAGAUACAAUGUGCAUCCAAUGUCAUCAUCUCUAACCUCCGUAUUAAAAAUAUUGUACCUACCCCAGGUGGCCUGCUUAGGGAAUCCGAUGACCACCUUGGCCUAAGGAGCGGAGAUGAAGGUAAUGUUAAACUGCCCAUCACAUCUAAAAAUUUAAAGUAUCUCCAAUUAUUAAAUAAUGUCAUAUAGCACAUUUUUUAAUUAUUUAAUUAUAUUAUGUUUUUAACAGGUGAUGCCAUCAGUAUCUUCAACUCUCAUGACAUAUGGAUUGACCAUAUCUCUAUGUCCCAUGCUGCCGAUGGUCUUAUCGACGCUGUUGCUGGUUCUACUAAUAUUACCAUAUCCAAUUGCCACUUCACUGACCAUGAAAAAGUAAUGUUGUUCGGUGCUAACGAUCAUUACGAAGCUGACAAGGACAUGAAGAUUACAUUAGCGUACAACCAUUUCGGAAAGAGGUUGGAUCAAAGGAUGCCUAGGUGCAGGUUUGGAUUUUUCCAUCUGGU
RNAcentral lists this long non-coding RNA (588 nucleotides) under Capsicum annuum. Its description in RNAcentral is "long non-coding RNA (CANN_LNC006799)". Lineage: Eukaryota; Viridiplantae; Streptophyta; Magnoliopsida; Solanales; Solanaceae. The record is from RNAcentral.